GUGGGAGGGGGCUUGCCCUCGAUAGCGGAGUGUCAGUUACAGAUGUAAUGACUGAUACCCAGCAAUCGGGGGCAAGCCCCCUCCCAC
RNAcentral lists this unclassified non-coding RNA (87 nucleotides) under Pseudomonas orientalis. Lineage: Bacteria; Pseudomonadati; Pseudomonadota; Gammaproteobacteria; Pseudomonadales; Pseudomonadaceae. The record is from RNAcentral.